Eptesicus fuscus (big brown bat) is the source of this 130-nucleotide small nucleolar RNA. RefSeq annotates it as small nucleolar RNA SNORA25. NCBI's taxonomy places the organism in Eukaryota, Metazoa, Chordata, Mammalia, Chiroptera, Vespertilionidae. The transcript has a single exon. The record is from RefSeq and is a predicted model, not a curated record.
GGGUCAUUUCAAAGAGAGCGUAUGGGACUAAAACCAGGAACUCUUAAAGCUGUGACCUAAAAUUGAAGUUCUCCAUAGGAUGUAAUAGACACUCUCAAUAGUGUCUAUUUUGUCCUGAAGAGAUAUAUGA